Molecule: ribosomal RNA, 335 nt
Filed under: Sphingomonas sp. UA-AR0414
Lineage: Bacteria; Pseudomonadati; Pseudomonadota; Alphaproteobacteria; Sphingomonadales; Sphingomonadaceae
Description: bacterial SSU rRNA
Rfam family: Bacterial small subunit ribosomal RNA
Source: RNAcentral
ACGAGACCUUCGGGUCUAGUGGCGCACGGGUGCGUAACGCGUGGGAAUCUGCCCUUGGGUUCGGGAUAACAGUUGGAAACGACUGCUAAUACCGGAUGAUGACGUAAGUCCAAAGAUUUAUCGCCCAAGGAUGAGCCCGCGUAAGAUUAGCUUGUUGGUGAGGUAAAAGCUCACCAAGGCGACGAUCUUUAGCUGGUCUGAGAGGAUGAUCAGCCACACUGGGACUGAGACACGGCCCAGACUCCUACGGGAGGCAGCAGUGGGGAAUAUUGGACAAUGGGCGAAAGCCUGAUCCAGCAAUGCCGCGUGAGUGAUGAAGGCCUUAGGGUUGGAAA